UGGGGAAUAUUGGACAAUGGGCGAAAGCCUGAUCCAGCCAUGCCGCGUGUGUGAAGAAGGUCUUCGGAUUGUAAAGCACUUUAAGUUGGGAGGAAGGGCAGUAAGCGAAUACCUUGCUGUUUUGACGUUACCGACAGAAUAAGCACCGGCUAACUCUGUGCCAGCAGCCGCGGUAAUACAGAGGGUGCAAGCGUUAAUCGGAAUUACUGGGCGUAAAGCGCGCGUAGGCGGCUGAUUAAGUCGGAUGUGAAAUCCCUGAGCUUAACUUAGGAAUUGCAUUCGAUACUGGUCAGCUAGAGUAUGGGAGAGGAUGGUAGAAUUCCAGGUGUAGCGGUGAAAUGCGUAGAGAUCUGGAGGAAUACCGAUGGCGAAGGCAGCCAUCUGGCCUAACACUGACGCUGAGGUACGAAAGCAUGGGGAGCAAACAGG
This 429-nucleotide ribosomal RNA is filed under the name Pseudomonadota bacterium. RNAcentral describes it as "Proteobacteria bacterium partial 16S ribosomal RNA". It matches the Rfam family "Bacterial small subunit ribosomal RNA", at positions 355 to 776 of the family's 1533-position model. The record is from RNAcentral. Lineage: Bacteria; Pseudomonadati; Pseudomonadota.